RNAcentral lists this ribosomal RNA (253 nucleotides) under uncultured bacterium. Its description in RNAcentral is "partial 16S ribosomal RNA". It matches the Rfam family "Bacterial small subunit ribosomal RNA", at positions 524 to 776 of the family's 1533-position model. The record is from RNAcentral.
UACAGGGGGGGCAAGCGUUGUUCGGAAUUACUGGGCGUAAAGGGUUCGUAGGUGGCCAACUAAGUCAAACGUGAAAUCCCCCCGCUCAACGGGGGGACGGCCUCGGAUACGGGCGGCCUGGAGGCGGGUAGGGGCACGCGGAACUGUGGGUGGAGCGGUGAAAUGCGUUGAGAUCCACAGGAACUCCGGUGGCGAAGGCGGCGUGCUGGGCAGUAGCUGACACUGAGGCGCGACAGCGUGGGGAGCAAGCAGG